This 328-nucleotide unclassified non-coding RNA is filed under the name soil metagenome. RNAcentral's name for it is "partial contains 5.8S ribosomal RNA, internal transcribed spacer 2, and large subunit ribosomal RNA". The stretch from base 1 to 120 matches the Rfam family "5.8S ribosomal RNA", at positions 35 to 154 of the family's 154-position model. The record is from RNAcentral.
GAUGAAGAACGCAGCGAAAUGCGAUACGUAAUGUGAAUUGCAGAAUUCAGUGAAUCAUCGAAUCUUUGAACGCACAUUGCGCCCCCUGGUAUUCCGGGGGGCAUGCCUGUUCGAGCGUCAUUUCAACCCUCAAGCUCUGCUUGGUAUUGAGUCCAUGUCAGCAAUGGCAGGCUCCAAAAUCAGUGGCGGCGCCGCUGGGUCCUGAACGUAGUAAUAUCUCUCGUUACAGGUGCUCGGCGUGCUUCUGCCAAAACCCCAAUUUUUCUAUGGUUGACCUCGGAUCAGGUAGGGAUACCCGCUGAACUUAAGCAUAUCAAUAAGCGGAGGA